GAUGAAGAACGUAGCGAAAUGCGAUAAGUAAUGUGAAUUGCAGAUUUCAGUGAAUCAUCGAAUCUUUGAACGCACAUUGCGCCCGCCAGUAUUCUGGCGGGCAUGCCUGUCUGAGCGUCAUUUCAACCCUCAUGCCCCUAGGGCGUGGUGUUGGGGAUCGGCCAAAGCCCGCGAGGGACGGCCGGCCCCUAAAUCUAGUGGCGGACCCGUCGUGGCCUCCUCUGCGAAGUAGUGAUAUUCCGCAUCGGAGAGCGAUGAGCCCCUGCCGUUAAACCCCCAACUUUCCAAGGUUGACCUCAGAUCAGGUAGGAAUACCCGCUGAACUUAAGCAUAUCAAUAAGCGGAGGA
This 348-nucleotide unclassified non-coding RNA is filed under the name soil metagenome. RNAcentral's name for it is "partial contains 5.8S ribosomal RNA, internal transcribed spacer 2, and large subunit ribosomal RNA". The stretch from base 1 to 120 matches the Rfam family "5.8S ribosomal RNA", at positions 35 to 154 of the family's 154-position model. The record is from RNAcentral.